CUACAAUCAAUUAAGCACGCAGCUCUUUUUCUCAUGGGCCUGGUGUGCAAGGGCUGCAAACAGCAGCAUCCUAGGUAGUGUACAGCAGCCUGUUCCUUGUUGUACAACAGCCAUUGGACAUUU
RNAcentral lists this small nucleolar RNA (123 nucleotides) under Pan troglodytes (chimpanzee). RNAcentral describes it as "Small nucleolar RNA SNORA70". It matches the Rfam family "Small nucleolar RNA SNORA70". Rfam says of the family: snoRNA U70 seems to be exclusive to mammals and is a member of the H/ACA class of snoRNA which contain H (ANANNA) and ACA box motifs. H/ACA box snoRNAs are involved in the conversion of uridines to pseudouridines (5-ribosyluracil) a constituent of structural RNAs (transfer, ribosomal, small nuclear, and small nucleolar). The record is from Rfam by way of RNAcentral. Lineage: Eukaryota; Metazoa; Chordata; Mammalia; Primates; Hominidae.